AUGGCCGACGCGGGUCAAAGUGCACUAUCUGUUCUUUAUCAGGUUGUAUCUGAUACGGGUUGUAUUAUUUGGACCCAAGGUAUUAAACUUAUUUUUGCAAGUUGGCGGAGUGCUUGAAGCCUGCUUCACCUCCGCCGCGAGUCGGCCCAGUAUUGCACUAUCUUCGGGAUUUUUCGUCUACG
Small nuclear RNA from Dermacentor silvarum, 182 nucleotides. RefSeq annotates it as U2 spliceosomal RNA. The record is from RefSeq and is a predicted model, not a curated record. The transcript has a single exon. Lineage: Eukaryota; Metazoa; Arthropoda; Arachnida; Ixodida; Ixodidae.